GGGGCGUUAGCUCAAUUGGCAGAGCGCUGCCUUUGCAAGGCAGAGGUUACCGGUUCGACUCCGGUACGCUCCA
RNAcentral lists this transfer RNA (73 nucleotides) under bacterium. RNAcentral's name for it is "tRNA-Ala". It matches the Rfam family "tRNA". Rfam says of the family: Transfer RNA (tRNA) molecules are approximately 80 nucleotides in length. The record is from RNAcentral. RNAcentral also lists the same sequence under 3 other names.